UACGAAGGGGGCUAGCGUUGCUCGGAAUCACUGGGCGUAAAGCGCAUGUAGGCGGCUUUUUAAGUCAGGGGUGAAAUCCUGGAGCUCAACUCCAGAACUGCCUUUGAUACUGAGAAGCUUGAGUCCGGGAGAGGUGAGUGGAACUGCGAGUGUAGAGGUGAAAUUCGUAGAUAUUCGCAAGAACACCAGUGGCGAAGGCGGCUCACUGGCCCGGUACUGACGCUGAGAUGCGAAAGCGUGGGGAGCAAACAGU
Molecule: ribosomal RNA, 253 nt
Filed under: uncultured bacterium
Lineage: Bacteria
Description: partial 16S ribosomal RNA
Rfam family: Bacterial small subunit ribosomal RNA
Source: RNAcentral